AGUGAACGCUGGCGGUAGUCCUAACACAUGCAAGUCGAACGGCAGCACAGAGGAGCUUACUCCUUGGGUGGCGAUUGGCGGACGGGUGAUGAAUACAUCGGAAUCUACUCUGUCGUGUGGGAUAACGGAGGGAAACUUACGCUAAUACCGCAUACGACCUACGGGUGAAAGCAGGGGAUCUUCGGAACUUGCGCGAAUGAAUGAGGCGCUGUCGGAUUAGCUAGAUGGCGGGGUGAAGGUCGACCAAGGCGACGAUCCGUAGCUGGUAUGAGAGGAUGAUCAACGACACUAGAACUGAGCCACGGUCAGACUCACACGGGAAGCAGCAGUCGGGAAUAUUGGACAAUGGGCGCAAGCCUGAUCCCGCCAUACCGCGUGGGUGAAGAAGGCCUUCGGGUUGUAAAGCCCUUUUGUUGGGAAAGAAAUCCAUCUGGUUAAUACCCGGGUGGGAUGACGCUACCCAAAGAACAAGCACCGGCUAACUUCGUGCCAGCCGCCGCUGUAA
Molecule: ribosomal RNA, 505 nt
Filed under: uncultured bacterium
Lineage: Bacteria
Description: partial 16S ribosomal RNA
Rfam family: Bacterial small subunit ribosomal RNA
Source: RNAcentral